GACGAACGCUGGCGGCGUGCCUAAUACAUGCAAGUAGAACGCAGUUGCGAACGGGUGAGUAACGCGUAGGUAACUUCCUCAUAGCGGCGGAUAACUAUUGGAAACGAUAGCUAAUACCGCAUACUGUGAGAUGGACCUGCGUGGGAUUAGCUAGUUGGUGAGGUAAAGGCUCACCAGGGCGACGAUAGAUAGCCGACCUGAGAGGGUGAUCGGCCAGACUGGGACUGAGAAACGGCCCAGAAACCUACGGGAGGCAGACGGAGGGAAUCUUCGGCAAUGGACGGAAGUGUGAACGAGCAACGCCGGGUGAGUGAAGAAGGUUUUCGGAUCGUAAAGCUCUGUUGUUAGAGAAACGGUAACUAACCAGAAAGGUACGGCUAACUACGUGCCAGCAGCCGCGGUAAUAC
This 407-nucleotide ribosomal RNA is filed under the name uncultured bacterium. RNAcentral's name for it is "partial 16S ribosomal RNA". It matches the Rfam family "Bacterial small subunit ribosomal RNA", at positions 28 to 526 of the family's 1533-position model. The record is from RNAcentral.